GAUCAUGGCUCAGGAUGAACGCUAGCUACAGGCUUAACACAUGCAAGUCGAGGGGAAACGACAUCGAAAGCUUGCUUUUGAUGGGCGUCGACCGGCGCACGGGUGAGUAACGCGUAUCCAACCUGCCCAUCACUUGGGAAUAACUUUGCGAAAGUAAGACUAAUGCCCAAUGAUAUCCCACGAAGGCAUCCGAAUGGGAUUAAAGAUUUAUCGGUGAUGGAUGGGGAUGUGU
Molecule: ribosomal RNA, 232 nt
Filed under: uncultured bacterium
Lineage: Bacteria
Description: partial 16S ribosomal RNA
Rfam family: Bacterial small subunit ribosomal RNA
Source: RNAcentral